RNAcentral lists this long non-coding RNA (434 nucleotides) under Pan troglodytes (chimpanzee). RNAcentral describes it as "lincRNA". The record is from RNAcentral. Lineage: Eukaryota; Metazoa; Chordata; Mammalia; Primates; Hominidae.
GUAACACUCUGGGAGGGCUCAGGCCACAUCACCAAAUGUGACAGGAUAGCCUUGAACUCAUCAAUUGCUGGGGGCACCUCAAACUCAACUCCAAAAUUGAUCUAAUGAACUUUCCCAAACCACAUUCCCUUCUUGCAUUUCUGAGAGAAUGGAUUCCCAUUCAUCUGACUACAGUGCUAUCCUGAAAGCAGAUCCAGAGACUUAGAUUUCACCUGCAGAUGAUUCAUUUGCAAGGUAAGCUGUCAUCAGUUGGAGGUAAGCGGAAGACAGUAGAGAGUACAGAGCCCUGGACUGUGACUCAGAGGAUGAGCACCAGAUCCAGUUUGCUGUGCCACAGUGUCCUGAAGAUUUUCCUCACAGAAUCUUUCAUCUCUUUGUUCCUGAGACUAUAUAUUAGAGGAUUACAGAGUGGUGUUAUCACAGAAUAGAACAAG